GUGGGAAUAGCUCAGUGGCAGAGUGUGUGCUUAUCAUGCACAAGGUCCUGGGUUCAAUCCCCAGGACCUCCA
Molecule: transfer RNA, 72 nt
Filed under: Camelus bactrianus (Bactrian camel)
Lineage: Eukaryota; Metazoa; Chordata; Mammalia; Artiodactyla; Camelidae
Also listed under: 3 other names
Rfam family: tRNA
About the family: Transfer RNA (tRNA) molecules are approximately 80 nucleotides in length. Their secondary structure includes four short double-helical elements and three loops (D, anti-codon, and T loops).
Source: Rfam by way of RNAcentral